CCCUCAUUCCAUUUUUCAUUUUCACACAAAUGCAACCUUACACCCUUCUCUCUCCUCUCAUUCCCCUUUUCCCCAAAUCCUAAGGCGCUGCCUCAGUGUUCUCUCUCUCUCCUUAUACAAGCCUGGUAUGGCUAUUCGCGUGAAACAAUCAAUGUUUCAAACCCAAAUUUACGUUUGUCACCCCAAACACGACUUGUUCUAUCUGUUCCAAGCCUGUAUAUGGAUUUGUAAGUUUGUGUCCUCUAUGGCUGUAUUGGUUGGGAGAAUAAAGCAGUUUAGGAGGGGCCUGGUCUGAACCUUCCCCGGUGACCAGCCAUGCCGGAGGUUCAUGAAACCUCUUGAAACUUGUGCGACAUCAGGAAUGCGGAUGGCGAUGACUUUUCCUGCCCACCACCCAAGUCUUCUCCAAUAAAGUCUAAGGGUAUGUACAGCUAUGUAUGUGAUAAAAUCAGUAAAAUAUAAACUAGCCGGGUCUUUGUUUCUUUCCUUCUUCAUUGCAUGGCUAUUUGGGCUUGUUUAUAUAACCAAUCUGUUGGGCUGAGGCCCAAUAGGCAUUUCUUCACAUUUGGGGCGAGUCCGAGUAAAGAAAGGGAAACUAAUAUUAGAAGAAACGCAUGGAAGGCCCAACCAUGGGUGAAAAUGGCCAACUAGAGGCUUGGUACGCCCUUAACCCGCCCCAUCUCUUUAUUAUGAUGGUUAUAUUUUGAAUUCCAAGUUUGUUGUAUUCGGAUUUUCAAUACUUGUAAAGAAUUCAUAUUAUUGUUGGAAUCUUUUGGUUUGAA
This is a long non-coding RNA of Lycium barbarum (goji berry), 782 nucleotides long. RefSeq lists it as uncharacterized. Lineage: Eukaryota; Viridiplantae; Streptophyta; Magnoliopsida; Solanales; Solanaceae. The record is from RefSeq and is a predicted model, not a curated record. The transcript has 2 exons.